RNAcentral lists this unclassified non-coding RNA (394 nucleotides) under soil metagenome. Its description in RNAcentral is "partial contains 5.8S ribosomal RNA, internal transcribed spacer 2, and large subunit ribosomal RNA". The stretch from base 1 to 120 matches the Rfam family "5.8S ribosomal RNA", at positions 35 to 154 of the family's 154-position model. The record is from RNAcentral.
GAUGAAGAACGUAGCGAAAUGCGAUAAGUAAUGUGAAUUGUAGAUUUCAGUGAAUCAUCGAAUCUUUGAACGCACCUUGCGCUCCUUGGUAUUCCGAGGAGCAUGCCUGUUUGAGUGUCAUUAAAUUCUCAACUCUCCAACUGUUGUCAUGACUGGUGGUAGAGCUUGGACGUGAGGGUUCUGCCGGCUCCUUGUUGAGUCUGGCUCCCUUGAAAAUGAUUAGCGCAGCUUUGCACUGUCCGCUUCAGGUGUGAUAAUUUAUCUACGCCCGACUAGCGACGCGCAUGAAUGGCUUUGUGCUUCUAACCGUCUCGAAAGAGACAAUACCUUUUGAACUUGACCUCAAAUCAGGUAGGACUACCCGCUGAACUUAAGCAUAUCAAUAAGCGGAGGA